GACGAACGCUGGCGGCGUGCUUAACACAUGCAAGUCGAACGGAAAGGCCCUGCUUUUGUGGGGUGCUCGAGUGGCGAACGGGUGAGUAACACGUGAGUAACCUGCCCUUGACUUUGGGAUAACUUCAGGAAACUGGGGCUAAUACCGGAUAGGAGCUCCUGCUGCAUGGUGGGGGUUGGAAAGUUUCGGCGGUUGGGGAUGGACUCGCGGCUUAUCAGCUUGUUGGUGGGGUAGUGGCUUACCAAGGCUUUGACGGGUAGCCGGCCUGAGAGGGUGACCGGCCACAUUGGGACUGAGAUACGGCCCAGACGCCUACGGGAGGCAGCAGUGGGGAAUAUUGCACAAUGGGCGGAAGCCUGAUGAAGCAACGCCGCGUGCGGGAUGACGGCCUUCGGGUUGUAAACCGCUUUCGCCUGUGACGAAGCGUGAGUGACGGUAAUGGGUAAAGAAGCACCGGCUAACUACGUG
Molecule: ribosomal RNA, 468 nt
Filed under: uncultured bacterium
Lineage: Bacteria
Description: partial 16S ribosomal RNA
Rfam family: Bacterial small subunit ribosomal RNA
Source: RNAcentral